This 303-nucleotide ribosomal RNA is filed under the name uncultured bacterium. RNAcentral describes it as "bacterial SSU rRNA". It matches the Rfam family "Bacterial small subunit ribosomal RNA", at positions 355 to 674 of the family's 1533-position model. The record is from RNAcentral.
UGGGGAAUAUUGCACAAUGGGGGGAACCCUGAUGCAGCGACGCCGCGUGAGCGAGGAAGUAUUUCGGUAUGUAAAGCUCUAUCAGCAGGGACGAAAAAAGACGGUACCUGACUAAGAAGCCCCGGCUAACUACGUGCCAGCAGCCGCGGUAAUACGUAGGGGGCAAGCGUUAUCCGGAUUUACUGGGUGUAAAGGGAGCGUAGACGGCAAGGCAAGCCAGAAGUGAAAGGGCAGGGCUCAACCCUGUACAUGCUUUUGGAACUGUGGUGCUAGAGUGCAGGAGAGGUAAGUGGAAUUCCUAGU